This 327-nucleotide ribosomal RNA is filed under the name uncultured Bacteroidota bacterium. RNAcentral's name for it is "bacterial SSU rRNA". It matches the Rfam family "Bacterial small subunit ribosomal RNA", at positions 28 to 351 of the family's 1533-position model. Lineage: Bacteria; Pseudomonadati; Bacteroidota. The record is from RNAcentral.
GAUGAACGCUAGCGGCAGGCCUAAUACAUGCAAGUCGAACGGUAAGUGUUAUAGCAAUAUGACACCAAGAGUGACGCACGGGUGCGUAACACGUAUGCAACCUACCCUUUACAGGCGGAUAGCUCGGGGAAACUCGAAUUAACCCGCCAUAAUAUAAUUGGAUGGCAUCAUUUGAUUAUUAAAACUGAGGUGGUAAAGGAUGGGCAUGCGUCUGAUUAGUUAGUUGGUAGUGUAACGGACUACCAAGACGAUGAUCAGUAGGGGAACUGAGAGGUUGAUCCCCCCACACUGGCACUGAGAUACGGGCCAGACUCCUACGGGAGGCUG